RNAcentral lists this ribosomal RNA (272 nucleotides) under Acinetobacter lwoffii. Its description in RNAcentral is "partial 16S ribosomal RNA". It matches the Rfam family "Bacterial small subunit ribosomal RNA", at positions 434 to 712 of the family's 1533-position model. The record is from RNAcentral. Lineage: Bacteria; Pseudomonadati; Pseudomonadota; Gammaproteobacteria; Moraxellales; Moraxellaceae.
UUUAAGCGAGGAGGAGGCUACCGAGAUUAAUACUCUUGGAUAGUGGACGUUACUCGCAGAAUAAGCACCGGCUAACUCUGUGCCAGCAGCCGCGGUAAUACAGAGGGUGCAAGCGUUAAUCGGAUUUACUGGGCGUAAAGCGCGCGUAGGUGGCCAAUUAAGUCAAAUGUGAAAUCCCCGAGCUUAACUUGGGAAUUGCAUUCGAUACUGGUUGGCUAGAGUAUGGGAGAGGAUGGUAGAAUAAGGGCGAAUUCGCGGCCGCUAAAUUCAAU